UGGCAGGAAGCAGGAAGCAGGAAGCAGGAGGCAGGAGGCAGGAGGCAGGAAGCAAGAAGCGGCCUUUCUUCCAUACUUAAGGGGAGAACCAGGUAGGACUCAUGGAGAUGAGGCUCUCAUGGGACUGUGGUCCCCAGAACGGGCCCCCAAGCCUCACCACGCCACCUCUGCCGUCAGCCCCAGGCGUCCAGGUGUCCGCCUGCAAGCUGAGGACCUGCCCACGCCCCGAACCUUGGCUCAGCGUCCCUCUCCCAGGUGAUUGGGCACAGCUCUUCCAAACACGCAGCCAAGACGCAGGUGGGACCCCACGGAGCCUACAAAUGAACUUUGGAAGAAGCUUCGGGAUUGUAAUAUUUCGGCACGGCCUGUCCCGUGACGCCCGCUGUCUCUCUGGUCUCCCAGGAAGACUCCACAGAGCUCUGCACAAUGAUCUCAAAGUUUUCUCAUAACUGCAUUCGUGGGAAUCCCACGGGGUGUUUGUGUUGUUGCCACUGUGAGCGGGGACCCCUGAUCUCAUUAUGUUUUCCGACCAGCUGUUGUGGGUACAGAUGAGAAUGACUGACUUGUGUGUGUCUGUUCAAUAACCAGCCUGCUACUUUCGCCAAGUUCUCCAGUGAACACUUCAGUGGCUUCUUGGUUUCCUCAGGCCUCCGAUCAGGCUGCCGGCAAAUGAUUACAAUUCUUUCCCAGAGACAGCGCAUUUAAUUCUGUUUCAUGUCUUAUUGCUAUGUCCAGGAUUUCUGGACAAUGAUAAAGAGCUCUGUUGCUGGUGUUUGUUUUUUUUUUUAAAUAAAAGUUUUUGAAC
This 805-nucleotide long non-coding RNA is filed under the name Neogale vison (American mink). RNAcentral's name for it is "Neovison vison (American mink) lncRNA (ENSNVIG00000003767.1)". Lineage: Eukaryota; Metazoa; Chordata; Mammalia; Carnivora; Mustelidae. The record is from RNAcentral.